CAUUCCACACCAAAGCUCAUAAGAUUUUUAUUAAAGCGCUUGCCCAAUAUAAAACACAGUAUUAAAGUACCGGCGAAAUAUUCAACUUGUAAAAAUGCAUGAUCACUUUCUAUCAAUAUUUGAAUGAAUUUUUUUUUGUAAUAACUUCAAGAUGAUCAAACUCUUUUUGUUAAAAUGAAUGAAAUCUGACAUAUCGUUCGUGAUCUCUCCAUAACGAAUUUUGACCUCUCCUCCGAAUUAAAUGAAAUCGAAUUCUCGAUUCGAAUCACUGAUAUUUAUUAAUCGAAGCAAAAGCACAGUCGUUUGAUGUUAAAAUAGUUGUCUACGUUCUGUUGUGCUAUCAAACGAAAUAUGCAUAUCUGUGAACCACGGACUGCGGUUUGAGAAUAAAAAAAAAGAAAAAUCAUUGACAUUUUCAAUUCAAAGUUCAAUUCAUGUCCCCAAGAGUUUUUAGCCACUUUUUUGAUGUUGUUUUCUUUUCGAACGUUGCAACAAACCAAACUGUUUCAUAUCAAUAAGAAUUUGUGAUUCAACCAUGAAAUUAACAUCGAUUUAAAAAAAGAAAACAAUAAUAAUUGUCCAAUUCAUGCUCAAUCACUUAAUUGAUUUCUCAAUUUUCUUUUUGGAAAUGAAUAGAAAAUGAUUUAUUUUUUUCAGAACACAAUAAUUCGAGUAACUCAAAUAGAAAAACAUAAAAAAAAGACAAAGGAUAACUAUGAACUUUGGACAAUAAAUGGAAAAAAAUAUUGAGAAAAUAAUCGAAAAUUGACAAGAAAAUUGGCCGACAAUAACUGUUCAAAUCAUAUUCAAUAAUAAUUAAUUUCAAAUAUCGUUCGUUAUAUCAAAUUGGUCUGUUUUGACUGGAAUACAUUGACACUUGAGCAUUUUUUCUCCCUUAAACACAUAUGUACACAAUAGAGUGUUCUUUUUCGGAACUAGCGCCAACCGUUCUCGGGUCGUGGCGAAGCAAAAUAAAUUCUUAAAAGGCCUUUCUUAACUGUUUCAACAAUUUUCUCAAAUUGUCAAAUUUGACAGCAUAUUCUGCUUUGCCACCACCCGUAAAUUUGUACGGAUGGCUUUAGUACCGAACAGGAACUCUCUGAUACAUAAAACAAAUUUUAGUGGGAGUUGAUCAGCGAAUAAAUAUUGAUAUCGAUGGAUUUUUCAUUUGUAAACAACACAUUCAGAGAAAUACGCUCAAAGGCCACAAUAAUCAUGAGCCCAGUUUAUUUUAAUUGAAUGGAAGAAUAAUGAAGAUAAGAAUUCCGUUCGACGCAAAGUAAGAAGUGGAAUGAAAGAAGAAGAGAAAAAAAAACGAGAAGAAGCCGCAGAAGAAGAUAAAGAGAUAGAUGAAUGAGAUGAAGAGUGGGCAAAAACGAUAGAAGCACGACAAUAAAGCCCAAAUAAUUGAUAAAAACAGUUGCACAAAACCAGUGAAUUUCACCGAAAUAUUUUGAUCGGCAUUGAUUUUAAAAUCCAUAUAAUAUAAAAAGAAACCAUAUCCAUGGAAACUUUGGCUAUGAAACCAAUAAUCAAGGCAUAUUUAUUUAAAUAAAUGUUGACAAUAUUCUAGAGAUUUAUAAAUGAACCACACACAAAUGGUCGAACAAUGUUUGCGGAGCAAAACAGAAAUAAUUUAGCACAUAGCACUUAAGAUUUUAGAUGUUAAGAAGUGUUAAGCAUACAAAUAGAGAAAUGAACGUUAUUAUUACAUAAGGCAUACACACAUAUUAUUGAAAUAAGAGCACAUCAAUUCAAA
Sitodiplosis mosellana (orange wheat blossom midge) is the source of this 1759-nucleotide long non-coding RNA. RefSeq lists it as uncharacterized. The transcript has 2 exons. The record is from RefSeq and is a predicted model, not a curated record. NCBI's taxonomy places the organism in Eukaryota, Metazoa, Arthropoda, Insecta, Diptera, Cecidomyiidae.